Long non-coding RNA from Meriones unguiculatus (Mongolian gerbil), 276 nucleotides. RefSeq lists it as uncharacterized. The transcript has 4 exons. NCBI's taxonomy places the organism in Eukaryota, Metazoa, Chordata, Mammalia, Rodentia, Muridae. The record is from RefSeq and is a predicted model, not a curated record.
UGGUGACCUGGGCCAGCCAGAACAGGAAGACAUGAGCAGGCCACAGAAGUGCUAUGAUGCAUCGCUUAAUGAGUCCAGCGAGGGAACUCUGGGGACUAACGAGUGACUGGUGGAAAGUUCCAGAAGAUGUAAGAGUGAACACUGAGGCUCCUCCUUCGAUCUCUGAUCUGCAGCUAGCAGGAUGAAUUAUAGAAAACAGUCAAACUCACAGGGAUGGAAGCCAGAACCCCUCAGCAUUCCUCUUACUUCCACCUCCCAUAAAAUCUGGAUUUGCAG